ACUUAAAUUGAAGAGUUUGAUCAUGGCUCAGAUUGAACGCUGGCGGCAGGCCUAACACAUGCAAGUCGAGCGGUAGCACAGAGAGCUUGCUCUCGGGUGACGAGCGGCGGACGGGUGAGUAAUGUCUGGGAAACUGCCUGAUGGAGGGGGAUAACUACUGGAAACGGUAGCUAAUACCGCAUAACGUCGCAAGACCAAAGUGGGGGACCUUCGGGCCUCAUGCCAUCAGAUGUGCCCAGAUGGGAUUAGCUAGUAGGUGGGGUAACGGCUCACCUAGGCGACGAUCCCUAGCUGGUCUGAGAGGAUGACCAGCCACACUGGAACUGAGACACGGUCCAGACUCCUACGGGAGGCAGCAGUGGGGAAUAUUGCACAAUGGGCGCAAGCCUGAUGCAGCCAUGCCGCGUGUGUGAAGAAGGCCUUCGGGUUGUAAAGCACUUUCAGCGGGGAGGAAGGCGAUAAGGUUAAUAACCUUGUCGAUUGACGUUACCCGCAGAAGAAGCACCGGCUAACUCCGUGCCAGCAGCCGCGGUAAUACGGAGGGUGCAAGCGUUAAUCGGAAUUACUGGGCGUAAAGCGCACGCAGGCGGUCUGUCAAGUCGGAUGUGAAAUCCCCGGGCUCAACCUGGGAACUGCAUUCGAAACUGGCAGGCUAGAGUCUUGUAGAGGGGGGUAGAAUUCCAGGUGUAGCGGUGAAAUGCGUAGAGAUCUGGAGGAAUACCGGUGGCGAAGGCGGCCCCCUGGACAAAGACUGACGCUCAGGUGCGAAAGCGUGGGGAGCAAACAGGAUUAGAUACCCUGGUAGUCCACGCCGUAAACGAUGUCGAUUUGGAGGUUGUGCCCUUGAGGCGUGGCUUCCGGAGCUAACGCGUUAAAUCGACCGCCUGGGGAGUACGGCCGCAAGGUUAAAACUCAAAUGAAUUGACGGGGGCCCGCACAAGCGGUGGAGCAUGUGGUUUAAUUCGAUGCAACGCGAAGAACCUUACCUGGUCUUGACAUCCACAGAACUUAGCAGAGAUGCUUUGGUGCCUUCGGGAACUGUGAGACAGGUGCUGCAUGGCUGUCGUCAGCUCGUGUUGUGAAAUGUUGGGUUAAGUCCCGCAACGAGCGCAACCCUUAUCCUUUGUUGCCAGCGGUUCGGCCGGGAACUCAAAGGAGACUGCCAGUGAUAAACUGGAGGAAGGUGGGGAUGACGUCAAGUCAUCAUGGCCCUUACGACCAGGGCUACACACGUGCUACAAUGGCAUAUACAAAGAGAAGCGACCUCGCGAGAGCAAGCGGACCUCAUAAAGUAUGUCGUAGUCCGGAUUGGAGUCUGCAACUCGACUCCAUGAAGUCGGAAUCGCUAGUAAUCGUAGAUCAGAAUGCUACGGUGAAUACGUUCCCGGGCCUUGUACACACCGCCCGUCACACCAUGGGAGUGGGUUGCAAAAGAAGUGGGUAGCUUAACCUUCGGGAGGGCGCUUACCACUUUGUGAUUCAUGACUGGGGUGAAGUCGUAACAAGGUAACCGUAGGGGAACCUGCGGUUGGAUCACCUCCUUACCUUAAAGAA
Molecule: ribosomal RNA, 1554 nt
Filed under: Klebsiella pneumoniae subsp. pneumoniae
Lineage: Bacteria; Pseudomonadati; Pseudomonadota; Gammaproteobacteria; Enterobacterales; Enterobacteriaceae
Description: bacterial SSU rRNA
Rfam family: Bacterial small subunit ribosomal RNA
Source: RNAcentral